RNAcentral lists this ribosomal RNA (1966 nucleotides) under human gut metagenome. RNAcentral describes it as "bacterial LSU rRNA". It matches the Rfam family "Bacterial large subunit ribosomal RNA", at positions 3 to 1991 of the family's 2925-position model. The record is from RNAcentral.
UCAAGCUAAUAAGAGCACAGGGUGGAUGCCCAGGCACCAAACGCCGAAGAAAGACGUGGCAAGCUGCGAAAAGUCACGGGGAACCGCAAGCAGGUAUUGAUCCGUGAACGUCUGAAUGGGGAAACCCGGCGGGUUAACAGCCCGUCACUAUUAACUGAAUCAAUAGGUUAAUAGGGGGAACGCGGGGAACUGAAACAUCUCAGUACCCGUAGGAAGAGAAAAUAAAGAAUGAUUUCCUAAGUAGCGGCGAGCGAACGGGAAAGAGGCCAAACCGAAGGGCUUGCUCUUCGGGGUUGUGGAUCAGCAAAAAGGACGGAAGACCUUAGCAGAAGAGGAUUGGAAAGUCCCGCCAGAGAGGGUAAAAGCCCCUUACGCGAAAAGGUCAAACGACGAGCUGACACCAGAGUACCGCAGGACACGAGAAAUCCGGUGGGAAGCCGGGAGGACCACCUCCCAAGCCUAAAUACGAAUUGGUGACCGAUAGCGCAUAGUACCGUGAGGGAAAGGUGAAAAGAACCCCGGGAGGGGAGUGAAAAAGAACCUGAAACCCUGUGUUUACAAGCAGUGAAAGUGCGAGCAAGGCACGAUCACGUACUUUUUGUAGAACGGACCGGCGAGUUACGUUAUGCAGCAAGGUUAAGAACUGAAGGUUCGGAGCCGAAGCGAAAGCGAGUCUGAAUAGGGCGAUAGUUGCAUGACGUAGACCCGAAACCGGGUGACCUAUCCAUGAGCAGGUUGAAGUGGAGGUAAAGCUCCAUGGAGGACCGAACCAGACGUCUGUUGAAAAAGGCGGGGAUGACUUGUGGAUAGGGGAGAAAUUCCAAUCGAACCCGGAGAUAGCUGGUUCUCCUCGAAAUAGCUUUAGGGCUAGCCUCAUGGAUCAUUGGUGGGGGUAGAGCACUGAAUGUGCGCGGGGGCCACAAAGCCUACCAAACGCUAUCAAACUACGAAUACCAUACAAUGCAGACCAUGGGAGUCAGUCCGCGAGAGAUAAGUUCCGCGGGCAAAAGGGGAACACCCCAGAUCAACCGCUAAGGUCCCCAAGUUCACGUUAAGUGGAGAAGGAUGUGGAAUUGCACAGACAACCAGGAUGUUGGCUCAGAAGCAGCCACACAUUUAAAGAGUGCGUAAUAGCUCACUGGUCGAGUGAUUGUGCGCCGAAGAUGUCCGGGGCUAAACGUGACACCGAAGCGAUGGGUGCGUCUGAAGAAGAUGCGCGGUAGAGGAGCAAUGUGCAGAGGCAGAAGCCGUAUCGAGAGGCACGGUGGACACUGCACAAGAGAGAAUGCCGGUAUGAGUAGCGAGAGGCAUGCGAGAAACAUGCCCGUCGAAAGCCCAAGGUUUCCUGGGGAAGGUUCAUCCGCCCAGGGUAAGUCGGGGCCUAAGCCGAGGACGGAAGUCGUAGGCGAUGGACAGCAGGUGUAGAUUCCUGCACUACCGAUGGAAUGAAGCAGUGACACAGAAGGAUAACUCGAGCAGGGUGAUGGUCAACCCUGUGCAAGCAUCAAGGUUGGGUUGUAGUGAAGUACGCAACCCUAUAAGCUGAGGUGUGAUGCGGACCGAAAUUUCAGUAGGGAAGCGAGUGAGUUCACGCUGGCGAGAAAAGCUGCUAGUACAUCCAAAGGUACCCGUACCGGAAACCGACGCAGGUGGGCGAGGAGAGAAUCCUGAGACGAACGGGAGAACCCUUGUUAAGGAACUCGGCAAAAUGACCCCGUAACUUCGGGAUAAGGGGUGCCUGCGAGAGCAGGCCGCAGAGAAUAGUCACAAGCGACUGUUUAGCAAAAACACAGGUAUCUGCGAAAGCGAGAGCUGACGUAUAGGUGCUGACACCUGCCCGGUGCUGGAAGGUUAAGGGAACAUGUUAGAGCAAUCGAAGCAUCGAACCGAAGCCCCAGUAAACGGCGGCCGUAACUAUAACGGUCCUAAGGUAGCGAAAUUCCUUGUCGGGUAAGUUCCGACCCGC